GGACCCACGGCCAAAGCACCAAAUUUGUGACGGAACCGCGGCCCCUCCUUCCCACUGACCAUCAUAUUCAACGUGAAGUCGUGAAGACCAAACACUGCUGUAAUGUUUCAGAGUAUCAUUUGAUGAAAUUGUCUGAAUUUUCAACUGUCUACAGAGAGCCUUCUGGGUACCAGGUACUAAACUAAAUGUUCCAGAGACAGAGACCACCACCAGCACCUACGAAAGAACAGCCCUUUUGUGAGACAACAUUGAAACAUUUCCAAAAGAGAGACAAGGGACACAUGGCCCAUGACAUGGAUGGGACCCAUGAUAUUCACCAUCCCCCUACAAUAGACAUCUCUUCCAUAGCUGAGACUCUGCUGUUAUAA
This 368-nucleotide long non-coding RNA is filed under the name Vulpes vulpes (red fox). RNAcentral describes it as "lncRNA (ENSVVUG00000006958.1)". The record is from RNAcentral. Lineage: Eukaryota; Metazoa; Chordata; Mammalia; Carnivora; Canidae.